GAUGAACGCUGGCGGCGUGCCUAAUACAUGCAAGUCGAGCGAACGGACGAGAAGCUCGCUUUUCUGAUGUUAGCGGCGGACGGGUGAGUAACACGUGGAUAACCUACCUAUAAGACUGGGAUAACUUCGGGAAACCGGAGCUAAUACCGGAUAAUAUUUUGAACCGCAUGGUUCAAAAGUGAAAGACGGUCUUGCUGUCACUUAUAGAUGGAUCCGCGCUGCAUUGGCUAGUUGGUAAGGUAACGGCUUACCAAGGCAACGAUGCAUAGCCGACCUGAGAGGGUGAUCGGCCACACUGGAACUGAGACACGGUCCAGACUCCUACGGGAGGCAGCAGUAGGGAAUCUUCCGCAAUGGGCGAAAGCCUGACGGAGCAACGCCGCGUGAGUGAUGAAGGGCUUCGGAUCGUAAAACUCUGUUAUUAGGGAAGAACAUAUGUGUAAGUAACUGUGCGCAUCUUGACGGUACCUAAUCAGAAAGCCACGGCUAACUACGU
Molecule: ribosomal RNA, 496 nt
Filed under: uncultured bacterium
Lineage: Bacteria
Description: partial 16S ribosomal RNA
Rfam family: Bacterial small subunit ribosomal RNA
Source: RNAcentral